UACAUAGGGGGCGAGCGUUGUCCGGAAUGACUGGGCGUAAAGGGUGCGUAGGUGGUGUAUCAAGUUGGAAGUGUAAUACCCAGGGCUUAACUCGGGUGCUGCUUCCAAAACUGAUUUACUUGAGUGUCGGAGGGGAAAGUGGAAUUCCUAGUGUAGCGGUGGAAUGCGUAGAUAUUAGGAGGAACACCGGUGGCGAAAGCGGCUUUCUGGACGACAACUGACACUGAGGCACGAAAGCGUGGGGAGCAAACAGGAUUAGAUAC
This 263-nucleotide ribosomal RNA is filed under the name uncultured bacterium. RNAcentral's name for it is "partial 16S ribosomal RNA". It matches the Rfam family "Bacterial small subunit ribosomal RNA", at positions 524 to 785 of the family's 1533-position model. The record is from RNAcentral.